AAUAAAUUUAAUUGUAGUUUAUAAAAUAAUUAUAUUAAUUAUAUAUAUAUAUAUGUUUUUAAAUAAAAAAUUAAAUAUAAUUUUUAAUAUAUAAAUCUGAAACAAUUAAUGAAAAUUAAAUUCGGGAAUUAAUUUUAUUAGAGAUAAAAUUAGUGCCAGCAAUAGCGGUUAAACUAAAUUCUAUAAUUUAUUUAUUUUUAAUUUUAAAUAAAUUUUAAAUUAAUAUAUUUAAUUAAAUGGUUAAAUUUAUGAUGAAAUAUAACAAUUUAUUUUAAUAAUUAAAUUUAAUAAUUAAAUUUAUUUACAAAUUUUAUUUUUAAACUAGGAUUAGAUACCCUAUUAUUAAAAUUAGAAUAUAAAUUAAUAAUUAAAUGUAAAUCAUUAAAAUUAAAUAAUUUGGCGGCUUAAAAUCUAAUUAGGGAAACUUGUUUAUUAAUUUGAUAAUCCACGUUAAGAUGAACUUAAAUUGAAUUUAUGUAUUGUUGUUUUAAAAUUAUAUAUAUAUAUAUAUAUUUUAAUAUUUAAUUUAAUAGUAAUUCAAAUCAAAAUGUAGUAUAUUUAAGAUAAAAUGAGUUACAAUAAAAUUAAUUUUUGAAUAAUUAAUUUUAAAAUUAAUUAGAAAAAGAAUUUGAUAGUAAAUUUAAUUUAAAUUAAUUAAAUUGAAUUCUAAUUUUUAAGUGUACAAAUUGCCCGUCAAUUUCAUUAUAAAUGAAGUAAGUCGUAACAUAGUAAGAGUACUGGAAAGUGUUCUUAGACUUAA
This 760-nucleotide non-coding RNA is filed under the name Nomada flavoguttata. Lineage: Eukaryota; Metazoa; Arthropoda; Insecta; Hymenoptera; Apidae. The record is from RNAcentral.